GAUGAACGCUGGCGGCGUGCCUAAUACAUGCAAGUCGAGCGAACGGACGAGAAGCUUGCUUCUCUGAUGUUAGCGGCGGACGGGUGAGUAACACGUGGAUAACCUACCUAUAAGACUGGGAUAACUUCGGGAAACCGGAGCUAAUACCGGAUGAUAUUUUGAACCGCAUGGUUCAAAAGUGAAAGACGGUCUUGCUGGCACUUAUAGAUGGAUCCGCGCUGCAUUAGCUAGUUGGUAAGGUAACGGCUUACCAAGGCAAGGAUGCAUAGCCGAGCUGAGAGAGUGAUCGGCCACACUGGAACUGAGACACGGUCCAGACUCCUACGGGAGGCAGCAGUAGGGAAUCUUACGCAAAGGGCGAAAGCCUGACGGAGCAACGCCGCGUGAGUGAUGACGGUCUUCGGAUCGUAAAACUCUGUUAUUAGGGAAGAACAUCUGUGUAAGGAACUGUGCACAUCGUGACGGUACCUAAUCAGAAAGCCACGGCUAACUACGUG
RNAcentral lists this ribosomal RNA (497 nucleotides) under uncultured bacterium. RNAcentral describes it as "partial 16S ribosomal RNA". It matches the Rfam family "Bacterial small subunit ribosomal RNA", at positions 28 to 507 of the family's 1533-position model. The record is from RNAcentral.